RNAcentral lists this transfer RNA (87 nucleotides) under Escherichia coli. RNAcentral's name for it is "tRNA-Leu". It matches the Rfam family "tRNA". Rfam says of the family: Transfer RNA (tRNA) molecules are approximately 80 nucleotides in length. Their secondary structure includes four short double-helical elements and three loops (D, anti-codon, and T loops). Further hydrogen bonds mediate the characteristic L-shaped molecular structure. tRNAs have two regions of fundamental functional importance: the anti-codon, which is responsible for specific mRNA codon recognition, and the 3' end, to which the tRNAs corresponding amino acid is attached (by aminoacyl-tRNA synthetases). tRNAs cope with the degeneracy of the genetic code in two manners: having more than one tRNA (with a specific anti-codon) for a particular amino acid; and 'wobble' base-pairing, i.e. permitting non-standard base-pairing at the 3rd anti-codon position. Lineage: Bacteria; Pseudomonadati; Pseudomonadota; Gammaproteobacteria; Enterobacterales; Enterobacteriaceae. RNAcentral also lists the same sequence under 16 other names. The record is from RNAcentral.
GCGAAGGUGGCGGAAUUGGUAGACGCGCUAGCUUCAGGUGUUAGUGUCCUUACGGACGUGGGGGUUCAAGUCCCCCCCCUCGUACCA